CAGUUGUGACGCAAUUUCUCUCUGCAGUAUUCUCUGAAACACAAUUAGUUCAUAAAAAAUCUAACACUCCAAAGCAAGAGCAAUUUCAAAAAUGGGUUUACUU
This is a long non-coding RNA of Ipomoea nil (Japanese morning glory), 103 nucleotides long. RefSeq lists it as uncharacterized. The transcript has 3 exons. NCBI's taxonomy places the organism in Eukaryota, Viridiplantae, Streptophyta, Magnoliopsida, Solanales, Convolvulaceae. The record is from RefSeq and is a predicted model, not a curated record.